GAACGCUGGCGGCGCGCCUAACACCUGCAAGUCGAACGGAGCUGAGAGAAGCUUGCUUUUCUUAGCUUAGUGGCGAACGGGUGAGUAACGCGUGAGUAACCUGCCCUGGAGUGGGGGACAACAGUUGGAAACGACUGCUAAUACCGCAUAAGCCCACGAUCCGGCAUCGGAUUGAGGGAAAAGGAUUUAUUCGCUUCAGGAUGGACUCGCGUCCAAUUAGCUAGUUGGUGAGGUAACGGCCCACCAAGGCGACGAUUGGUAGCCGGACUGAGAGGUUGAACGGCCACAUUGGGACUGAGACACGGCCCAGACUCCUACGGGAGGCAGCAGUGGGGGAUAUUGCACAAUGGGGGAAACCCUGAUGCAGCGACGCCGCGUGGAGGAAGAAGGUUUUCGGAUUGUAAACUCCUGUCGUUAGGGACGAUAAUGACGGUACCUAACAAGAAAGCACCGGCUAACUACGUG
Molecule: ribosomal RNA, 465 nt
Filed under: uncultured bacterium
Lineage: Bacteria
Description: partial 16S ribosomal RNA
Rfam family: Bacterial small subunit ribosomal RNA
Source: RNAcentral